UUUCAGAUUCCACCACUGGUUCUACCGACGUGGAAACAACAGUUCCUGAUUUCAUCCCAGUUUCCACUGAUGCAGAAACUGUCUUGUCGACAAUAACCGGAUUUGGCAAGUAUUCAGCAUGUACCAGACAUUUUGAACAUUGUAUAAAAUGCUGAUUUGUAAAGUAGCAAUUUACAGUAUACGUCAAAGACACUUGAUGCAUGAAUUUAUCAGCAAUGAAUGACAUUGUAUCUUUUGCCGCUAACAUUAUUGAAAACAUCGAUUUGAAAUGGCCUUAAAGCUUGAAGAAUUCCAAUCCACCAGGUAAACUCCUUGUGUAGAGAUUGGAUUAUUGUCCAAUAUCUAAACUGCCCUUGGCAUCGGAAGUAAGUUUGUUAUUUUAUGUAGUUAUUUACAAUUAUUAUGACAUACCCUAUAAAUGCAUACACAUGCGCAUAUAUAUAUGUACAUAUACAUUUCUAAUGUUAACAAUUGUCCCACAUACCAUUGUGUACCGUGAGUAGGAUCUAAUUUGAUGCGAUUUCGAAUGACUUCUAAACAUUACAUACAUCUGACAUCUGUCUACAUAAUCAGAUUUGUCUUGUUUGAUAUGCCGCUGAUUAAGGUGUUAUCAGUAGCACGUGGAAACAGUCAUCAUUCUCAUAUAGCUUGCAAUACGAGUCAACUGAAUCUUUGUAUGAUACUGAUAAAUUAUAAAGUUGUGAAUUUUACUUAGGAUCAACUUGCAUACCAAUUUACUGUUAGUUAUUGUCUCAAAAGUGGCAUAUCAUCAUGCAAUUAGGAAGAAUGAUGAUACCUUUAUACAAUUCAAAUAAAUUUCCGUAAUGUAAUAUAUAUCAUAAAACAGCAACAACUUGUUUUCAUUCAUGUAUUGAAAUCCAUCAAACGAACACACUGUAUAAAAUGAAAAGUGAUCAAUUAGAACAACUCACAAAUCAAUCAAACCACGGACGAUUCACAAAUGAACUGCUACCUAGAGACCAUAGGAUACAUGUAUCCCUGUCUUCAGCACUGAUGGACCUUUAUAUCCAUAUAUUCAACUCUGGUGUGUAUUUCCAUUCCAUUUGUCAAUGCUGGUGAGUAAAACUAUUUUUCUCUCUAUGGAAUAUGCUACUAUAAAGCAAAACAUCCUUCACGUACCUAUGUAAAAUGUUACACGUUUACUUGUUAUGUACAAGUUCACCUUUUGCUUGGUGUCUAUAAGGUAUAAUUUUACUCGGUAUGUAUUUAUGAUGUCAUACGUUUUCUCGGUAUAUACAUGGUAUACGUUCACUUGGUAUGUUCAAGUUCUACUUUUACUUUAGUUAUAAGUGUACUCGGUGUGUAUAAGGCAUGCGUUUACAUCGUCUAUACAAGUUAUUCGUGUACUCGCUGUGCGCGUAUUUUGUACGUCUGGAGAGAUGAGGGAUCGAAUAAAAAAUCACAUUAUUUUCAUGUUUAUUACACUUAUUACAAUGACGACAAUAAUCACAAACAUGGAAUCCGGUAAGUUUUAAAUAUUAUUUUAUUAUUUAUUUCUAUUAUCGUAUUUGAACAUUUCAGGAGAUCAGAAAAGAUGUGACUGUUGGGUAAACAAUGGCGUGGUCUGCUGUGGGGUUUUUCUUUGGAUCGGUGUCAGAUACUGACGGGCGAAUUAGGGUUGCUGGUUUUUCAUACCGUUUGUUACGCCGUUCUUGAUAUACUGAUUUUGCCUGUGGAUUGCUUUGCUUACAUGGUCAAGAUAUAAGACACACGGCAGAUUAAAAUCCAGACACACAGAUGGGAUUCGAGCAUUCUACAUUCCGCACAUAAUUCAGAAGCUCUAUCCACU
This is a long non-coding RNA of Ostrea edulis (European flat oyster), 1810 nucleotides long. RefSeq lists it as uncharacterized. Lineage: Eukaryota; Metazoa; Mollusca; Bivalvia; Ostreida; Ostreidae. The record is from RefSeq and is a predicted model, not a curated record. The transcript has 3 exons.